Molecule: long non-coding RNA, 209 nt
Filed under: Pelobates cultripes (western spadefoot toad)
Lineage: Eukaryota; Metazoa; Chordata; Amphibia; Anura; Pelobatidae
Source: RNAcentral
GAUACGUGAGUGUACUGGUUAAAUUGCAGACAUAUUGGCCCAGAACCUUUAAUCGAGCCGGAAAAGAGGCUGCUGUAUGUUUGCUCCUCUAUAAUUUUGCGGGGGCGGUCACCCCCAUGCGGAAAGCCACUGCCAUCACAGGGUGGUUAGUUGUGUAGGCCCUUAGCCGCGAGGUGCAAGCAUGUCCGUGGAAAGGCUAGAAAUUAAUA